Long non-coding RNA from Galendromus occidentalis (western predatory mite), 652 nucleotides. RefSeq lists it as uncharacterized. The record is from RefSeq and is a predicted model, not a curated record. The transcript is spliced from 2 exons. NCBI's taxonomy places the organism in Eukaryota, Metazoa, Arthropoda, Arachnida, Mesostigmata, Phytoseiidae.
GAGGCGGAAUAAAAGCAAAGCAACGGAUACGUUGCAUAUUGACAGUCAUCCCGAAGGAGAAUAAGCGAGCUGAGAUUUUUCGAUUCGUGUGACCCUUUUGUGCUCUAACGGUGAUCGGUUUCCCUUGCUUGAGGUCGAAUUCGAGCCGCGACUUCUAGAGAUCGAAGAUGGUGUGCAUUCCGUGCAUCCUCGCUCCUCUGAUCCCGCUGGUUCUCAUCUUGUUGCGCUUCCUGCAACCGCUUCUGGAGAAGCUCGGAUUGAAGAAGAAGAUCGAAAUCACUGCGAGCUGUCCAAUUAAGAAACGCGAUAAGCCGACUACCUCCACUGAUGCUACCAGCGAGGGGGAGGAGAUCGCAGCCGGAGCUGAAGCUAAAAAAGACGCUUAGUCUCUCAUCGCCAGCUGACUCCAGGUGAAAGUUGCGAAGAUGGGAACCCAACAGAGUCGUUCUCCAUCUCCUGUUCGAGGAACCUUUUCCUUCUUAGUCAGUCCUAUGUUUCCAUUUAGGCCUAGUGCCCACGCCAGGUGUGAGAAAGUUGAUUUGUUCCUCUUUUGAUCUUGUGUAUACAUACCCUAGGUUCUAUGGACAUGACAAGAAGUGCUCCCAUGUCCAAUAAAAGUUCCGAGCUGCUCGAUGGCCCGUGCUACGGUUAA